This is a long non-coding RNA of Triticum dicoccoides, 1211 nucleotides long. RefSeq lists it as uncharacterized. The record is from RefSeq and is a predicted model, not a curated record. The transcript has 3 exons. NCBI's taxonomy places the organism in Eukaryota, Viridiplantae, Streptophyta, Magnoliopsida, Poales, Poaceae.
CAGCACAUUUACAUGCACAAACCAUUGGAGAACUCCAGCUGGUACUGUGAUCCAGCUAUUCAUUAUGUUUCCAGAUGGUUUGUGUGCAGACAUAAUUUCAGGCUAUCUUCAGUUGCUGCUCACUGUAGAUUCGACAGUGAAAUAUUUAGUUGAGAAAUGAGAUAAAAAGUUAGCCAUUUAAGCUAUGUUUCACAAACAGUCGGCAUUAGAAAAGUGAAUCAAAUUGCCUUCAUGGACAUAGAACAGUGUAUAGCAGACAGGGCAGUGAAAGCUGUAUGUCGCCAAGAUAUAAAUCUCACAGCUAAAACAUCGCUUCCCCCCAGAAUUUCCACACCCCUUGUGCGAACAAACCAUGCUCUGUUGACUGUUGUUCACUAUGAUGGAGAUUUUUUAUGUUACCAUUUUGAUUACAGGAAGCUUGCACUCUCUCAAUUAUCAUUGGUCGUUGCGCCAAGGGCAAUUCAGAGUUUUAGGUUGUAUCAUGGGCUCGUAUGGCAGGUCCUACAAAAAAGACGUACUAAGGCGGAACAGCGAGGCAUCACCAUUGGCCACGGGCAGGGAGAGAAGGCGGGUCAACAGCGGACUUUCAGGGGGCAUUGAUUCCCUGCGGUUAGGAGGCAGGGAGGACGGAGAAGGGCUGGGGCACGCCGAGCAGCCCCCAUGGAGAAAUGGAGGCCUAUCACUGUUUUGUUUUGACAUUAUAUACUGUAAUAAACUUGAAGCUCUGCCCAUCAUACUAUGCAGACUGCAGUGUGUUCUCUUGCACUGUCUAAAGUACAAAAUAAAAAAGGGCAACUAGAGGUUUUACUUCUCUUCAACAAGGAGGCCGGCCUGUGGUUGGGCCUCGGCGCGUUUCCUCAUUCAUUCUUUGACCGCUAGAGGAAGCUUGCGCUCUCUCAAUUAUCAUUGGUCGUUGCGCCAAGGGCACUUGAUAGUUUUAGGUUGCAUCAUGGUCUCAUAUGGCAGGUCUCACAAAAAAGACGUACUAAGGUUAGUAGCUGCUACAACUGAAGUUAUUAUUCAUGCAACUGCAUGGUUUCUAUUGUUUGCCUUGUAAUGAAACAAUAAUGCCAAGGUCAUUCAAAUUAUCUGGGCUAAUAGUGUCUGUUGUAGAAACUUGUUUGCUUGUAGCUAUAAUUGUUUCCUAUUGUUUGUCUGAUCACAGAACUACAAUGUAAACAAGACCAUGGUUGGCAUUAGCUAUUGUGGAA